This 435-nucleotide ribosomal RNA is filed under the name uncultured bacterium. RNAcentral's name for it is "partial 16S ribosomal RNA". It matches the Rfam family "Bacterial small subunit ribosomal RNA", at positions 28 to 507 of the family's 1533-position model. The record is from RNAcentral.
GAUGAACGCUGGCGGUGUGCUUAACACAUGCAAGUCGAACGGACUCUUCGGAGUUAGUGGCGGACGGGUGAGUAACGCGUGAGAAUCUGGCUUUGGGUUCGGGACAACCACUGGAAACGGUGGCUAAUACCGGAUGUGCCGAGAGGUAAAAGAGAAAUUGCCUGAAGAUGAGCUCGCGUCUGAUUAGCUAGUUGGUGAGGUAAAGGCUCACCAAGGCAGCGAUCAGUAGCUGGUCUGAGAGGAUGACCAGCCACACUGGGACUGAGACACGGCCCAGACUCCUACGGGAGGCAGCAGUGGGGAAUUUUCCGCAAUGGGCGAAAGCCUGACGGAGCAAUACCGCGUGAGGGAAGAAGGCUCUUGGGUUGUAAACCUCUUUUCUUAGGGAAGAACAAAAUGACGGUACCUAAGGAAUCAGCAUCGGCUAACUCCGUG